CACGUAAUUAGCCGGUGCUUAUUCCUGCCCUACCGUCACCAUGCAGGCAUUUCCUCCUACACUUAUUCCUCGGACAGAAAAGAACUUUACAACCUUCCGGCCUUCUUCGUUCACGCGGCGUCGCUCCGUCAGGGUUCCCCCAUUGCGGAAUAUUCUUACCUGCUGCCUCCCGUAGGAGUCUGGGCCGUAUCUCAGUCCCAAUGUGUCCGUCCGCCCUCUCAGGCCGGAUACCCGUCCUCGCCACGGCGGGCCGUUACCCCGCCGUCCAGCUGAUGGGCCGCAGACCGUUCCCGGCGCGGAGCCGAAGCUCCUUUCCCGCUGUCUACCUUCCGUAUACAGUGAUCUAUCCGGUAUCACCCUCUAUUUCUACAGGCUGUCCCGGGCAUCGGGGUACGUUAUCCACGUGUUACUCACCAGUCCGCCGCUCUCGGCAUUGCUGCCUGCCGCUCGACUUGCAUGGUUAAGACGCGCCGCCAGCGUUCGUCUGAGCCAGGAUCAAACUCU
Molecule: ribosomal RNA, 504 nt
Filed under: uncultured Treponema sp.
Lineage: Bacteria; Pseudomonadati; Spirochaetota; Spirochaetia; Treponematales; Treponemataceae
Description: partial 16S ribosomal RNA
Source: RNAcentral